RNAcentral lists this microRNA precursor (87 nucleotides) under Phlebotomus papatasi. RNAcentral describes it as "microRNA mir-263". Lineage: Eukaryota; Metazoa; Arthropoda; Insecta; Diptera; Psychodidae. The record is from RNAcentral.
CAGAAGAUUUCUCUUGGUUCCUCCAGGAAAUCACAGAUCUUAUGAGAUUUUCUGUGACUUCUUGGAGAAAUCAGGAGAAAUCUUCUG